Ribosomal RNA from Neurospora crassa OR74A, 1796 nucleotides. It matches the Rfam family "Eukaryotic small subunit ribosomal RNA". The record is from Rfam. NCBI's taxonomy places the organism in Eukaryota, Fungi, Ascomycota, Sordariomycetes, Sordariales, Sordariaceae.
UACUUAAUUAAUUCUACUAAUAAUUAUAUACUUAUUUUAAAAAUUAAAUUAUAUAUAUUUAAAUUUAAAUAAUUAAAUUGCGAAAUUACAAAUAGCUUAUUAAAUCAAUUAUAGUUUAUUUAAUAGUAUUUUACUAUAUAAAUAACCGUAGUAAUUCUAGAGCUAAUAUAUACUAAAAACCCCAACUUCGGAAGGGGUAUAUUUAUUAAAUUAAAAACUAAUACCCUUCGGGGCUAAUUGGUAAUUUAUAAUAAUUUUUCGAAUUGUAUAGCCUUAUAUUAGCGAUAGUUUAUUCAAAUUUCUAUCCUAUUAACUUUCGACGGUUGGGUCUUAGCUAGCUAUAGUAAUAAUAAGUAAUGGAGGGUUAGGGUUCGACCCUGGAGAAGGAGUUUGAAAAAUAGCUAUUAUAUUUAAAGAAGGUAGUAGGCGUAUAAAUUAUUUAAUUCUAAUAUAAGGAAGUAAUAAUAAUAAAUAUUAAUAUAGGGCUCUUUUAGGUCUUAUAAUUGGAAUAAAUAUAAUUUAAAUCCCUUAAUAAAGAAUAAUUGGAGGGUAAAUCUAGUGCUAGCAAUUAUAGUAAUUCUAAUUCUAAUAAUAUAUAUUAAAGUUAUUGAGGUUAAAAAGUUCGUAAUUAAACUUUGGGUUCGGCCCGUCGGUCCGCCUUACUGUAUAUACUAAUUAGGUUGGGCUUUUUUUCUUAGAGAACCGUAUACCCUUUAUUAAGUAUAUUAGGGAACUAGGACUUUUAUUAUAAAUAAAUCAAAUCGCUUAAAGAAGGCCUAUAUUCGAAUGUACUAGUAUAAAAUAAUAAAAUAGAAUAUAUAGUUCUAUUUUAUUAAUUUUUAGGACCGUCGUAAUAAUUAAUAGGGAUAGUUGGGGGUAUUAGUAUUUAAUUAUUAGAGGUAAAAUUCUUAAAUUUAUUAAAGAUUAAUUACUACGAAAGUAUUUACUAAGGAUAUUUUUAUUAAUUAGGAACGAAAGUUAGGGGAUUAAAGACAAUUAGAUACUAUUAUAAUUUUAAUUAUAAAUUAUACUAAUUAAGGAUUAGAUAGUAUUAUUUUUUAACCCGUUCGGUACUUUACAAUAAAUUAAAAUAUUUAAGCUCUUAGGGGAGUAUAGUUGUAAGGUUGAAACUUAAAGAAAUUAACGGAAGGGUACUACUAGGGGUGGAGCUUACGGUUUAAUUUAAUUUAAUAUAGGGAAAUUUACUAGGUCCAAAUACAAUGAGGAUUAAUAAAUUGAAAACUCUUUUUUAAUUUUAUAGGUAGUAGUAUAUAGCCGUUUUUAAUUAAUAGAGUAAUUUAUUUAUUUAAUUAUAAUAACGAACGAGACUUUAAUUUGCUAAAUAGCUUAUAUUACUUUAGUAAUAUAUUAGUUUUUUAGAGGGACUAUCGGUUUAAAUUAAUAAAAGUUUAAAGUAAUAAUAGGUCUAUAAUACCCUUAAAUAUUCUAGGCUGUACGCGCGCUAUAUUAAUAUAGCUAGCGAGUAUUCCUUUAGUUGGAAGGUCCGGGUAAUUUUAUUAAAUUAUAUUAUAUUAGGGAUAGAAUAUUGCAAUUAUUACUCUUUAAUAAAGAAUCCUUAGUAAACGUAAAUUAUUAAUUUAUAUUAAUUAUAUCCCUGCCCUUUAUAUAUACCGCCUAUUAUUAUUAUCGAUUGAAUAGUUUAAUAAGGUUUCCGGAUUGGCCUAGGGAGGUUAGUAAUAACUAUUUAAAGCCGGAAAGUUAUUUAAAUUUAGUUAUUUAAAGGAAGUAAAAGUCGUAAUAAGGUCUCUAUUGGUGAAUUAGCAGAGGGAUUAUUA